This 30-nucleotide non-coding RNA is filed under the name Rattus norvegicus (Norway rat). The record is from RNAcentral. Lineage: Eukaryota; Metazoa; Chordata; Mammalia; Rodentia; Muridae.
UGGGAAAGGUGCACUUUCCGCCCUGCUAAU